CAUGAUAGGAAGCCAAGUUCAGCUUUGAAAGUGAGACAAGUCAUUCAGGAGGAACAGUGUUUAGAACCCUCAUUCAUGAAGAUGGACCUCACAACUUUUCAAUCAUUUGGUUUGGGUUGGCAUCCUUGUUUAUGGUGUCUAAUGACAAAUAAAUCUUGUGUUUUAUCUUGAGAGGAAUUAUAGGUGUUCACAUAGAUGAGGAGGAACUCAAAUUGGACACAAAGUCCAUGCAAAGUCCAUAAUGGAGGAAUUAUAGGUGUUCACAUUUUUAUGAGGACUUGUCUUAUUUUGCAGCAAUGUCGAUAAUGGAGGCUCCUAUAGAAUUCUGAAAACUUGCCUUGUCUUACUAUAUUACCUUUUCUUGUUUUGGCUAAAUUGUAAUUCUUUAACUUGCAAAGUCCACCAUUCACACUAUGCAAUGUGACAGACUUAGACUAGUCAAUCCAUAUAUUCACAAAUCUAAAAACACUUUAGU
Lupinus albus (white lupine) is the source of this 475-nucleotide non-coding RNA. Lineage: Eukaryota; Viridiplantae; Streptophyta; Magnoliopsida; Fabales; Fabaceae. The record is from the annotation of a GenBank genome assembly.